Molecule: non-coding RNA, 127 nt
Organism: Ilyonectria sp. MPI-CAGE-AT-0026
Lineage: Eukaryota; Fungi; Ascomycota; Sordariomycetes; Hypocreales; Nectriaceae
Source: the annotation of a GenBank genome assembly
AGCAAUUUGGCGCAGUGGAAGCGCGCCGGGCUCAUAACCCGGAGGGUAAGCCUAUCCUUCGAAUCCGGCUCUAGCGACGUCAACUAACUCAGUACCUCAGUCGCACGAUCGAAACGUGCAAUUGCUA